UACGUAGGGCCCCGAGCGUUAUCCGGUAUUAUUGGGUGUAAAGAAUACGUAGGCGGUUUGGUAAGACACUGGUAAAAUCUCCGAGCUCAACUCGGAACCUGCCGGUGUUACUGCCGAACUUGUCGGUAGCAGGGGCAAGUGGAAUUCUCAGUGUAGGAGUGAAAUCCGUUGAGAUUGAGAAGAACACCAAUGGCGAAGGCAACUUGCUAGGCUACUUGAGACGCUGAGGUAUGAAAGCGUGGGGAGCGAACGGGAUUAGAAACCCUUGUAGU
This 272-nucleotide ribosomal RNA is filed under the name uncultured bacterium. RNAcentral's name for it is "partial 16S ribosomal RNA". It matches the Rfam family "Bacterial small subunit ribosomal RNA", at positions 524 to 794 of the family's 1533-position model. The record is from RNAcentral.